UGAUAAUUAGUUUAAUUUAAAAAUAAAUGAUUUCGACUCAUUAGAUUAUGAUUUAGUUCAUAAUUAUCAU
RNAcentral lists this transfer RNA (70 nucleotides) under Pipistrellus coromandra (Indian pipistrelle). Its description in RNAcentral is "tRNA-Arg". It matches the Rfam family "tRNA". Rfam says of the family: Transfer RNA (tRNA) molecules are approximately 80 nucleotides in length. Their secondary structure includes four short double-helical elements and three loops (D, anti-codon, and T loops). Further hydrogen bonds mediate the characteristic L-shaped molecular structure. tRNAs have two regions of fundamental functional importance: the anti-codon, which is responsible for specific mRNA codon recognition, and the 3' end, to which the tRNAs corresponding amino acid is attached (by aminoacyl-tRNA synthetases). tRNAs cope with the degeneracy of the genetic code in two manners: having more than one tRNA (with a specific anti-codon) for a particular amino acid; and 'wobble' base-pairing, i.e. permitting non-standard base-pairing at the 3rd anti-codon position. Lineage: Eukaryota; Metazoa; Chordata; Mammalia; Chiroptera; Vespertilionidae. The record is from RNAcentral.